Non-coding RNA from Paramuricea clavata, 269 nucleotides. Lineage: Eukaryota; Metazoa; Cnidaria; Anthozoa; Malacalcyonacea; Plexauridae. The record is from the annotation of a GenBank genome assembly.
GUCAUCCGCCAUAUUGGAUUUUCUGCAAAUAUUUGCAGCAAAAAAGUGCGAAUUUUACCUUUUUUCAAUACUUAUAAAAUGUGGAGAGUUUUUUAAUGUGAGUAUUAAGAAGACGUUGGUUCACUGCAUCAUGCUGUUUUGGCUCAGGCGAUUGUCUGGGCCUGUUCUGUGGCGAAAUUUGUCCGCUCAAAUUCAGAGGUAUAAAUAUAUAAUAUACAUUUAUUUAUUUAUUUUGUAUAUAUUUUUAAUAUUAUCUUAGUAUUAGUAGU